GACGAGAACUUACCAGGUCUUGACAUCCCGAUGCUAUUCUAGAGAUAGAAAGUUACUUCGGUACAUCGGUGACAGGUGGUGCAUGGUUGUCGUCAGCUCGUGUCGUGAGAUGUUGGGUUAAGUCCCGCAACGAGCGCAACCCCUAUUGUUAGUUGCCAUCAUUCAGUUGGGCACUCUAGCGAGACUGCCGGUAAUAACCGGAGGAAGGUGGGGGAUGACGUCAAAUCAUUAUGCCCCUUAUGACCCGGGCUACACACGUGCUACAAUGGUUGGUACAACGAGUUGCGAGUCGGUGACGGCGAGCUAAUCUCUUAAAGCCAAUCUCAGUUCGGAUUGUAGGCUGCAACUCGCCUACAUGAAGUCGGAAUCGCUAGUAAUCGCGGAUCAGCACGCCGCGGUGAAUACGUUCCCGGGCCUU
RNAcentral lists this ribosomal RNA (418 nucleotides) under uncultured Streptococcus sp. RNAcentral describes it as "bacterial SSU rRNA". It matches the Rfam family "Bacterial small subunit ribosomal RNA", at positions 962 to 1382 of the family's 1533-position model. The record is from RNAcentral. Lineage: Bacteria; Bacillati; Bacillota; Bacilli; Lactobacillales; Streptococcaceae.